RNAcentral lists this transfer RNA (73 nucleotides) under Paramuricea clavata. It matches the Rfam family "tRNA". From Rfam's summary of the family: Transfer RNA (tRNA) molecules are approximately 80 nucleotides in length. Their secondary structure includes four short double-helical elements and three loops (D, anti-codon, and T loops). The record is from Rfam by way of RNAcentral. Lineage: Eukaryota; Metazoa; Cnidaria; Anthozoa; Malacalcyonacea; Plexauridae.
GUCUCUGUGGCGCAAUGGGUUAGCGCGUUCGGCUGUUAAUCGAAAGGUUGAUGGUUCGAAUCCAUCUGGGGCG